GAGGGUAUAGCUCAAGUGGUAGAGUGCAUGCUUAGCAUGCACAAGGUCCUGGGUUCGAUCCCUAGUACCUCCC
RNAcentral lists this transfer RNA (73 nucleotides) under Camelus bactrianus (Bactrian camel). It matches the Rfam family "tRNA". Rfam says of the family: Transfer RNA (tRNA) molecules are approximately 80 nucleotides in length. Their secondary structure includes four short double-helical elements and three loops (D, anti-codon, and T loops). Lineage: Eukaryota; Metazoa; Chordata; Mammalia; Artiodactyla; Camelidae. The record is from Rfam by way of RNAcentral. RNAcentral also lists the same sequence under 2 other names.